AAUUGUCACAGCCAGACAACUGUUGGAGCAAAGAGGAUUCACAUCUCAUGAUAAUUUCCAUGGCUGCAGUGUUAUGCUGAGAAGGAUGUUGAGGGCCCAUCUUGUCUUGGCAGGAAGAGCGUUGUCUGGGGAGAAUGUGAUAAAGAGGAGUAACUGAAGAUAAUUGGAGACUAACGUGAUUUCCUCACUGCCAUAAUUAGUGGCAGAGGUGGGACUGGAACACAGGCAAGAAACGUCCCAAGUCACAGGUUCACCUUGUGUCAUCUUUGCUUUUCCUUCUCUAAAAUGAGGACCCCUCCCACCUCACCCAGGGUGGGAAAGGCCAGUUCAUCCCAGAGAGCUGCUAGGAGAGGGCAAGACAACUUGGAGUGGCUCCGAGGGGCAGCUUUCCUCCCGGACUCUCUGGACGGAGAGAAAACCCCAGUCUUUUGUGUGAUUCCUGGGGGGUGUGCCUGCAGCUUUCACCUUCAGAGGCAACAAUGAGAAAACCAGGGUAGCAGGGCUUGGCCCUAAACUCCACAGCGUAGUCUAAAGGCCAGAUGGAAGGUAAUGUACGAGUUAUAGGAUGUGGAAUCCGCUUAAGCUUGAGCCCUGUGAUCUAAGGGUAGUCCCCUCUGAGCUGGUUUCAGCAGACACCUUUCUCACAGGAUUACAUAUGAGUGCACAGUAGGCAGUCAACAAAUAUGGACUGAUCACACACACCAUGUUUUCUCUUCCCUCGGGGUCUUUGCACAUGCAGGUUCCUCUGCUUGGGACAUUUCUCCACUUUCUCUCCUCAUACACUGCUCACCGGAUCUCUGGAGCACUCAGUUUACACCGUGUCUUCAGAGAACACUCUGACUAACCCGAGGGGGUUAGGUACCCCCCUUCUGGGUGUCCACAGCACUCUGAACAUAUCCCAUCACAGCAUUUACCCCACUGGACUAUGGCGGCCUUUCUCCUGGAUUAGGCUGUGAGGCUCUGAGGGCAACGACCACAACAGAUUCAACUCUGUACCCUCAGUGCCUUGCACUCAGUAAACUCUCAAAGAAUACAUGCUGGCCAACUUACUAUAUCAAUGCCUUCUGUUCCCACUCCAUUCAUGACCACAAUAAAGAGCUCUAAACAGA
Molecule: long non-coding RNA, 1109 nt
Organism: Pan troglodytes (chimpanzee)
Lineage: Eukaryota; Metazoa; Chordata; Mammalia; Primates; Hominidae
Exons: 2
Source: RefSeq, a predicted model, not a curated record